AUGAUGUGGUUUAAUUCGAUGCAACGCGAAAACCUUACCCACCUUUGUACAUGUACGGAACCCUUUAGAGAUAGAGGGUGCUCGAAAGAGAGCCGUAACACAGGUGCUGCAUGGCUGUCGUCAGCUCGUGUCGUGAGAUGUUGGGUUAAGUCCCGCAACGAGCGCAACCCUUAUCAUUAGUUGCUACGCAAGGGCACUCUAAUGAGACUGCCGGUGACAAACCGGAGGAAGGUGGGGAUGACGUCAAGUCCUCAUGGCCCUUAUGGGUAGGGCUUCACACGUCAUACAAUGGUCGGUACAGAGGGUUGCCAAGCCGCGAGGCGGAGCCAAUCCCACAAAGCCGAUCGUAGUCCGGAUUGUUCUCUGCAACUCGAGAGCAUGAAGUCGGAAUCGCUAGUAAUCGCGUAUCAGCGCGACGCGGUGAAUACGUUCCCCGGGUCUU
Molecule: ribosomal RNA, 442 nt
Filed under: uncultured Herbaspirillum sp.
Lineage: Bacteria; Pseudomonadati; Pseudomonadota; Betaproteobacteria; Burkholderiales; Oxalobacteraceae
Description: bacterial SSU rRNA
Rfam family: Bacterial small subunit ribosomal RNA
Source: RNAcentral